CCUGCUCUUUUAUGAAAAGCGCUGUGAGAUAACUGUUGUUGUGAUUUGGCGCUAUAUAAAUAAAAUUGAAUUGAAUUGAAUUGAUGCAGAAAGAGCUGAAACAUUUCCUCAGAGUCUGCAGAGGACUCUGAGCUGAAGGGCUGUAGUUCAGGUUUCAGGCCGUCUCCACGAUGCCGAGACCAUCAGGAUCUAAUUUCCCCAGGUCUGAACUGAGAACAGCAGGAGAGAGAUCCCACGCAGCUGAAAGCUUCAUGUCAGCCCAUGAGCUUUAAAGCCAGGCGUGCAGGUGACUCUCUGCAGUGACGACAGAGGUGACAAACUUUAGACAUGAAAAGGAUUCAGGACUGUCCAGGUGACGCGACUUCUACCAGGUGACGCUUCUUUGUUUGUUUCUUCUUUGUUUGUUGUAAUUUCAGCCACAGGAGGCCGAAGCUUCGGCCCACGCCGUCUCACCAACGGAAGCGUCCGUGUUGUCUUCAUGUUGUCAUUAGUAUUUCCUGCUAGUGUUUUCGUGUUCGCUCUUCCACAGAUGUUUCAUUGUAUUUUCGUAGCCUAAAUUAAAAGUGCUGUGGUUAUUGAAAGAGAAGAGAGACCAUCACCUAACUUUCAUUGGUUCACCUGGAAGCUAAGGGUUAACUCUCCUCACCUGUUGCUGACCGCAGUUCAGCUAACGGCCACCGGGGUUUCUGAAAGUUCCAGGUGGACCCUUUGAAGGCUCCUAACGGUUUCCAGAUGACCAGGUAACAAAGGCCAGACAGCCAAAGAUCAGGUGUGAUGUAACGUCUCAGUGCAUCUACCUGCACACAAGGUGUGACACCUGACUGACGGAUUUAUCGGGCGCCAUCCUCACUGGGAAGAAGAACGACAGAAAUCAGGAGCGUUUGACUUAAUGUUGAUCUUUCUUCUGUGACAUGAACACGGUUUAAUAAUCGUAAACGCUGCAGACACACAGCUGGCUGAACGGAGCACCGUCCCUCAGUUUUCACCCUAAAGGUCUGAUGGGAGUUUAGAUGGCGCCUGGUUUGAAUCUGUAACCAGCAGGUGGAGAAUAACGUGUCCUGUUUCUUCGAGGCAGAGUCACAGACGCAACAGACAAUAAACAUCUUUUGAAUUAAA
Long non-coding RNA from Micropterus dolomieu (smallmouth bass), 1116 nucleotides. RefSeq lists it as uncharacterized. The transcript is spliced from 2 exons. NCBI's taxonomy places the organism in Eukaryota, Metazoa, Chordata, Actinopteri, Centrarchiformes, Centrarchidae. The record is from RefSeq and is a predicted model, not a curated record.